GAUGAACGCUGGCGGCGUGCUUAACACAUGCAAGUCGAACGGUGAAGCAGAGCUUGCUCUGUGGAUCAGUGGCGAACGGGUGAGUAACACGUGAGCAACCUGCCCCUGACUCUGGGAUAAGCGCUGGAAACGGCGUCUAAUACCGGAUAUGAGCUGCGAUCGCAUGGUCAGCAGUUGGAAAGAUUUUUCGGUCUGGGAUGGGCUCACGGCCUAUCAGCUUGUUGGUGAGGUAAUGGCUCACCAAGGCGUCGACGGGUAGCCGGCCGGAGAGGGUGACCGGCCACACUGGGACUGAGACACGGCCCAGACUCCUACGGGAGGCAGCAGUGGGGAAUAUUGCACAAUAGGCGAAAGCCUGAUGCAGCAACGCCGCGUGAGGGAUGACGGCCUUCGGGUUGUAAACCUCUUUUAGCAGGGAAGAAGCGAAAGUGGCGGUACCUGCAGAAAAAGCGCCGGCUAACUACGUGCCAGCAGCCGCCGUAA
Molecule: ribosomal RNA, 483 nt
Filed under: uncultured bacterium
Lineage: Bacteria
Description: partial 16S ribosomal RNA
Rfam family: Bacterial small subunit ribosomal RNA
Source: RNAcentral